ACUCGACACUAACAUGUAAAAACAUGUAGGAUCAUGUCAUGUUAGGAUCAUUUUUAUGUUGUUUCUAAUUUUACAGAAGCAUUGUAGUGACAUCAUUCCACAUAGAAGAGACCUCAUCAUUGUGACUUUCCACAUGUCUCCAGUUUGGGGCACUCACUUCAUUACAGUAUGUGAGUCUUGGGAAUGUGGCGAUUGUAAAGUGUGUGGCACAGAAGUAUCCAGUAGGUAUGAGUUAUUGAAACUAAUUCUAAGCUCAAACAUGGACAUUUUGGGGCUAGGUUCAGGCAUCCUAUGCAGCAUACCCCUCUGCUGUGAGUAAGACAUAAAUGCU
Molecule: long non-coding RNA, 331 nt
Organism: Puntigrus tetrazona (Sumatra barb)
Lineage: Eukaryota; Metazoa; Chordata; Actinopteri; Cypriniformes; Cyprinidae
Exons: 3
Source: RefSeq, a predicted model, not a curated record